RNAcentral lists this ribosomal RNA (474 nucleotides) under uncultured Candidatus Scalindua sp. RNAcentral's name for it is "bacterial SSU rRNA". It matches the Rfam family "Bacterial small subunit ribosomal RNA", at positions 365 to 829 of the family's 1533-position model. The record is from RNAcentral. Lineage: Bacteria; Pseudomonadati; Planctomycetota; Candidatus Brocadiia; Candidatus Brocadiales; Candidatus Scalinduaceae.
UUCGCAAUGCCCGAAAGGGUGACGAAGCGACGCCGCGUGGGUGAGGAAGGCCUUCGGGUUGUAAAGCUCUGUCGAGGGUUAUGAAACGUAGAUGAGUUAAUACCUCAUUUAUUUGACAAAGGCUCCAAAGGAAGCCACGGCUAACUCUGUGCCAGCAGCCGCGGUAAUACAGAGGUGGCGAGCGUUGUUCGGAAUUAUUGGGCGUAAAGAGCACGUAGGUGGAUUUGUAAGUCAGAUGUGAAAGCCUUCUGUUCAACGGAAGAAUUGCAUCUGAAACUACAAACCUUGAGUGUAGGAGGGGAGAAUGGAACUUCUGGUGGAGCGGUGAAAUGCGUAGAUAUCAGAAGGAACGCCGGCGGCGAAAGCGAUUCUCUGGCCUAUUACUGACACUCAGUGUGCGAAAGCUAGGGGAGCAAACGGGAUUAGAUACCCCGGUAGUCCUAGCUGUAAACGAUGGGCACUAAGUAGAGGGGU